RNAcentral lists this ribosomal RNA (252 nucleotides) under uncultured Bacteroidales bacterium. RNAcentral's name for it is "partial 16S ribosomal RNA". It matches the Rfam family "Bacterial small subunit ribosomal RNA", at positions 524 to 776 of the family's 1533-position model. Lineage: Bacteria; Pseudomonadati; Bacteroidota; Bacteroidia; Bacteroidales. The record is from RNAcentral.
UACGGAGGAUGCGAGCGUUAUCCGGAUUUAUUGGGUUUAAAGGGUGCGCAGGCGGAAUGUCAAGUCAGCGGUAAAAUCGUGGAGCUCAACUCCAUCCAGCCGUUGAAACUGAUGAUCUUGAGUGGGCGAGAAGUAUGCGGAAUGCGUGGUGUAGCGGUGAAAUGCAUAGAUAUCACGCAGAACCCCGAUUGCGAAGGCAGCGUACCGGCGCCCAACUGACGCUGAAGCACGAAGGCGUGGGUAUCGAACAGG